This 420-nucleotide ribosomal RNA is filed under the name uncultured microorganism. Its description in RNAcentral is "bacterial SSU rRNA". It matches the Rfam family "Archaeal small subunit ribosomal RNA", at positions 330 to 751 of the family's 1478-position model. The record is from RNAcentral.
GCGCAGCAGUCGAGAAAACUUCACACUGCACGAAAGCGCGAUGAGGGAAUCCCAAGUGCUUGCACGUAAGUGCAAGCUGUUUCUCUGUUUAAAAAGCAGAGAGAGUAAGGGCUGGGUAAGACGGGUGCCUGCCGCCGCGGUAAUACCUGCAGCUCGAGUGGUGACCGCUAUUAUUGGGCCUAAAACGUCCGUAGCCGGUCUAGUAAAUGCCUGGGUAAAUCGUGAGGCUCAACCUUACGAAUUCCGGGUAGACUGCUAGACUUGAGACCGGGAGAGGCUAGAGGUACUCCUGGGGUAGAGGUGAAAUUCUGUAAUCCCAGGGGGACCACCAGUGGCAAAGGCGUCUAGCUAGAACGGGUCUGACGGUGAGGGACGGGGCCCUGGGGCGCAAACCGGAUUAGAUACCCGGGUAGUCCCUGA